GUGAUAUGCCAUUUUUUAAAAAGCUUUACAUUUAGUAGACAAAGCAAAUGGAUAAAUAUAAUUUAAAUUACGCUAUGUUAUUUCGAAGGUUAUUUAACUUAUUUUAAAUUUUCUAUAUAAAGCUUUAUACAGAAAAUUUAACAAUAAGGUUUAUUUUAUUUUAAAUUAAAAGCCAUUAGUAUUACUAAUUAAUAUAUAAUAAAAUAUAUGGUAAGUUAAUACAUAUAAUAUAUGGUAAGUUACUACAUGUCUAAAUCUAGAAAAUUAUGCAAGAAUAUAUGCAAUCCAUAUAGUCUAUAUUAUAGAAAUAAAAGUUCAACUAAUCCUUUACUAGUAGUAAGGGGUUAGUUGAACAAUUAUUUCUAUAAUAUAGACUAAAUGGAUUAUUUAUAGUCUUGUUUAACUUUAUAUUUUAGACAUGACAUGUAGUAACAUACCAUUUUAGUUUAAAUCAGUUGUAAAAUUAAAAAUGUUAACAUCUUUGAUAGGUAUAUUUAAUUAGGUUAGUUACAGCUAAGUUUACAUGGCUAGUUAAUAUGCUUUUAUAAAUUGCAAUUUUUAUUAAUUUCCAAAUUAAACAUGUGGCAUCCAAUAUCAUAAACUAAGAUUAUACUGGUGUGUUUAUGUUAUUUUAGAAUUUUUUGUUUUAGACACAUGGUAUUUUUUAUCCUGCUGUAAGUUAAAACUAGUUGUAAAAUUAAAAAACUUAUAUUGGAACUUCUUUUUCUUUUAACAUUCAUGUUUAUUUAUUUAUACUAUCUUAGAAUUUGCUGCUUUAGAGGCACGGCAUUUAGUGUCACAUUUUAGGUUUAAAUUGGUUGUAGAAUUUAAAUUGUAACUUGCAUAUUUAUUUAGUUGAGUUUAAUCUAAAUUUAUAUCUGAUGUGUUUGUAUUAUUUUAGAAUUUACUGUUUUAGACACGUGGCAUGUGGUAUCCCACUAUUACAACUAAGUUUGUGUAUGGCUUGUUUAUAUUAUUUCAGAAUUUGCUAUUUUAGACACUUGGUAUAAGCUGUCAUACUACACGUGUCAUGUGAUAUCCCACUAAUUAGCUAUUUUAAACAUGUGACAAGUGGUAUGACACUUUUUUAAAAGGUUAUCAGAUAAUGUCAAGGAGUUGACAGCAUGGUGUCCAAUUAAAGUGCGAACCUGUGUACGAGUAACAACAGUAUUCAAAACCAAAACCUAUUUAAACCAACCAAACCAAAACUAGCGACCAAAAACUAUCUUGGCAUUGGUUUAUUUUAAACAUCUAAUAUAUAUAUGUGUGUUUUUUAUAUAAAUGUUCUAGCUUGAGUAUAGUGUAUUAAAAAAAAUUUUCAUGUAUUUUCAUUGUAAUUUAAAGCAUAUUGGAUUAAAUAUUAUAAAUA
Non-coding RNA from Hydra vulgaris (swiftwater hydra), 1369 nucleotides. The record is from RefSeq and is a predicted model, not a curated record. Lineage: Eukaryota; Metazoa; Cnidaria; Hydrozoa; Anthoathecata; Hydridae.